AUUGAACGCUGGCGGCAUGCCUUACACAUGCAAGUCGAACGGCAGCACGGGAGCAAUCCUGGUGGCGAGUGGCGAACGGGUGAGUAAUAUAUCGGAACGUGCCCAGUCGUGGGGAUAACGUAGCGAAAGCUACGCUAAUACCGCAUACGAUCUAUGGAUGAAAGCGGGGGAUCGCAAGACCUCGCGCGAUUGGAGCGACCGAUAUCAGAUUAGGUAGUUGGUGAGGUAAAGGCUCACCAAGCCGACGAUCUGUAGCUGGUCUGAGAGGACGACCAGCCACACUGGGACUGAGACACGGCCCAGACUCCUACGGGAGGCAGCAGUGGGGAAUUUUGGACAAUGGGCGCAAGCCUGAUCCAGCAAUGCCGCGUGCAGGAUGAAGGCC
This 385-nucleotide ribosomal RNA is filed under the name uncultured bacterium. RNAcentral describes it as "bacterial SSU rRNA". It matches the Rfam family "Bacterial small subunit ribosomal RNA", at positions 30 to 416 of the family's 1533-position model. The record is from RNAcentral.